This 12455-nucleotide unclassified non-coding RNA is filed under the name Diabrotica virgifera virgifera (western corn rootworm). RNAcentral describes it as "titin". Lineage: Eukaryota; Metazoa; Arthropoda; Insecta; Coleoptera; Chrysomelidae. The record is from RNAcentral.
AGUAGGUGUCUGGUCAGCGGGUUUGUGGGAUGCCCACCUCAAGAUAUGAGAUGUCCCACCUUCGCGGUCCAUUAUAGAAAAUAACACAGUCGAUAGCCGGCAACUACGCGUAUUGUACACACGGGCGAUAACAAUAAUAAUAAUAAUAAUUGAAAGAGACAGUUGCUUCGAAUUUUUGGUGUGUCCUUUGUGGUUCUUAUUACUCUGCUAUAGACUUUAUUACUGGCAAUUUUUUUUAUUAAUCUUGUGCUGAGAAGUUGCGAGGUGAAAGCAUAAGGCCAUGUCGGCCGAUACCCACAACCUCUCUCACAUUCAAGACGAGGAUGUUCUUCGUAAAAUGUGGCAAGAUACUGAAGAUUUCGGAAAGAAAAAGGAAAUAAGAUCGCACAUGUAUAAACUACGGGAACAACGAUUGAGGGAGUUUUAUAACGGCAGCGAGAUCACAGAAUCCAGAUCGUCAAAAACUACAGGAAAAGUGACGCAAAGCUCUACUCACGCCGAUUCACUCGUCGAUCAAAGCUUUCAGAGCUUUAAGAGCAAAGAAGUCCGAGAUUCAGGAUCAGGAUCACCUACAAGAGAUAUACAUUACAAAGUACCAGGUUCAAACGAAUGGCAGAUUGCAUCGAACAACGAAAUUAGCAAAGACGGCAAAACUAGAAUUCACUCCACAGUAGCGUCGGUACAAGGCACCCAAAAGAUAGAUGGGGGCCAAAUAGAUUUCAAAGGCAAGAAUGAAAAUACGUCUAGCGUCUAUCACCACGCCGAUGAAAACUCGGAAACCAUGAGAACCCAAAGUAGCAGCCAUAGCUCGACUGCUUCCCGUAUGGUACAAUCUCACACGGUGCCUUCAGAACAAAUAGAGUUACCAAGUAAUCUUCAAGGGGUUACCAAAGUGAUACGUGAAACUAAAACGUUACCAGAUGGUUCUAAAGUUACCACAACCAGGUACGAUACCACGAGUGGUUCUUCUCACACCACUAACCAAUCUGCUCAUGUACGGACUUCGCAAGAAUCUUCUUCCAGCCGCCAGGUGAACGAAAGAACGUCUGAAAAUGUUGUUUCUGUAGAUAACAAAGAAGUAGCGAUACCUAGUAAUCUGCAAGGUAUUACUAAAGUCACAAAGGAGACUAAAACACUACCAAAUGGUACAACUGUUAUUUCUACCAGAUACAACACUACCAGUGACAACAUACAAACAGGGCAUAUUAAAACUGCCCAAACUUCAUCAACAACUCAUAUAACAGGAGAAAAACAAGCAACUUUAAACAUUUCAACGCAAAACAAUGAUAACAUCACUACCAAGACAAUUAAAGAAUCUAAAAUUCUUCCUGAAACUUAUACAACAACAUCUGUAACAAAUCAAGUUACUGAUAUAAAAGGUUCUGCUCAAAAUCGACCUCAAGUACCAGAAAACCUUCAAGGAGUAACUAAGAUAACUAAAGAAACAAAAACAUUACCAGAUGGUUCUAUUGAGACAACGACAAAGUACCAUACAGUUAGCGGUACCACUACACAUACAGAAGUUAUAGGAACUGGGAAAAUUUCUAAAGAGCACAGCUCAGUGACAAAUAAAUCUACUAAAAGGUUCGAAGAAAGUGUAGAUAAUCAACAAAAUUACAAAACUGAAAAGAUACACUCAGUAAACAACAAAAUAACGGAUAAUAAAGACAUAAUAAGAACUAAUGUUACCAGUACCCAAGAGGACAAUAGGAAAAAUUUUGUUGAAAAUAACACCAAAGUGACUAAUGUUAACGAAAACAUAAAUAUAACCAGAGUAAGCACUGAUGACAAAGAUACUAAUAAAGUAUAUAGAGUACCCACCAAACAACCGGUGGAACCCAGAGAGUGCGAAAAUAUUGUAACAAAUCAACAUAAUAGAAGAGAAGAAAUAACAACUGACAAUUUUAUAAACACAGAACGUAGACAAGAAGUUUUAACACGGGACAAGUACCCAGAAGAAACGCCUAAAAAUAAACCAAGUGCCCCGAGAGAUAUAAGUCCCACCAAGCCAACAAAAACUUACUAUCAACCUAGUAAGCCAACAGAUGAACCUAGAGAAAGAAGUCCCACCAAACCAACAACAACUGACUAUCAACCUAGUAAGCCAACGGAUGGACAUAGAGAAAGAAGUCCUACCAAACCAACAAAACCUGACUACCAACCUAGUAAACCAACGGAUGGACAGUACGAAACGACUUAUAGAACUGACUACACCAACAGGAAAAUAAGCGUAGAAGUUAGUCCUACUCAUGAUGCAUUCGCAAGGUCUUUAAGGUCUGUCUCACCAGACCGAGUACCUAGCAGAGGCAGUCAUAGAACUAGUAAUUCUUCAAUACCUGAAAAAAUGAGACACCCCUCAAGAAUAUCUCCAGAGCGUACUCAUAAAAAUCGAGGUGGAAGUCCUACAAAAAGCAACGAUAGAUUUUCUAGUACCGACACUUAUAUUUAUAAUAAAAGGAGAAGUACUGAUGAAGGGCCGAAAACAAAGUCGCCUUCUCCAAAAAGAUAUGGUAGUACCGAUACAUUCAGAAAGACAGAAAGUCAAGAAACGAUUACAAUUUCUAAAACAUCAAGACAUGAUGUUACUAAUACUACAUCUAAAAAGAAAGACAUUAAGAGGACAAGUCAACAUUCCCUACCAAGAUCAAGGUCGCCCUCUCCUAGAAAACCUUCUGAAUGCAGAAAAGAAACAUAUGAAAUUGUAACUGACUUGGACGAAGACGUAACUAUAACCACAGAGAAGCAGAAAACUGGUUCCAGACCUAACACUUUAGAGCUUUCGAAGAAACCUAAAAAAAUUACUGACCGUUCACCGUCUUCUCCAUUAUCAGACUUAGGAUCCCCUAAGAAAUCACCUACAAAAGAUCUUAGAAGAACUAGCAGCUUCAAAUCGCCUACUAAAGAUCAUUCUCCAACUAAAUAUCCAACCGACAGUUACAAGGCUCCAAAAGACAAUCUGCCAAAAUCUCCAACAAGGAACCGUCCAGAGGAUCGUCCUUUAAAGAGAACCGAUACAUAUGAAGAACGGUGUCGGCAAAUACUGGGGAUAACAGAAGUAACUGACAAAAGAAGGAGUAGUUUGGAGAGAUCAUCAAGUAAAAGAAGUUCUUUUAGAAGAAAUACUUCGACAAAUAGUGUGGACACAAAUGGAAGCACUAGUCCUACUAAGGACAAACCUAGAAGUCCAACUAAAAGCCCCGUGAAGGAGAGGCCACAGUCAAGAGAUUAUGAAACAACCGAUAUUUCAACUAGAACAACAACAGAGACAACUACUACAAGUAUUGAAGGAAAACCUCGAAGUCCAUCAAAGAGUCCAGUAAAAGAAAGACCACUAUCCAGAGAAUAUGACGAUAAACCUAGAAGUCCAACGAAAGAAAGACCACGUUCAAGGGAUUUUGAAACAACUAAUAUUGUCACAACAAACAAAAUCGUGGACACGAAUAAAAUACCUAGACCUGCUGAAGGAAAACCUGGACCAACAAAGAGUCCAGUAAAAGAAAGACCACUAUCCAGAGAAUAUGACGAUAAACCUAGAAGUCCAACGAAAGAACGACCACGUUCAAGGGAUUUUGAAACAACUAAUAUUGUCACAACAAACAAAAUCGUGGACACGAAUAAAAUACCUAGACCUGCUGAAGGAAAACCUGGACCAACAAAGAGUCCGGUAAAAGAAAGACCAAGUUCAAAAGCUUUUGAAACCACUGACAUAGUUUCAACAACCACAAUAGUGGAUACAACUGAAAUCACUAGACCUACUGAAGGUAAACCUAGAAGUCCAUUAAAGGAAAGACCUGUUUCCAGAGAUUAUGACACCACAGAUAUUACUACAACGACUAACACCGUGGACACAACUGAAAUCACUAGACCUACUGGAGGUAAUCCUAGAAGUCCGAUGAAAGAAAGACCACGUUCAAGAGAUUAUGAAACAACUGAUAUUGAUACAACGACCAAAACAGUUGACACAACUGAAAUCACUCGUACACAAGAGAAACAUACCGACAUUUCAUCAACCAAAACAAAGGACAUAACUGAAAGCACUGAAACCAUUAGACCUACUAAAGAAAAACCUAAAAGUCCUGUAAAGGAAAAACCACGUACCAGAGAUACUGAAACCCAAGACAUUGUGUCAACCACCGAAACAGAAGAAACUACUAUUAUCACCAGUGACCUCUAUAAACCUAAAAAGAGACCACAAAGUCCAACUAAAGGAGAGAAACCCGAAUCAGUCCAAAAAAGGCCUGAUAAAAAGGGUCCAAAUAAAUACCCUGACAACGAACAUACUACGAAUGUCCAAAAAACUACAGAACAAGUUGACGUUUAUAAUAAGGAAGAAAUUAUAAUAACUGAUGAAGAAUAUAAAACGCCACAUCAACCAAUAACAAAACCAAAUCAAAAGACACAUCCACAGACAACUGUUGAUCAAACAGACCAAACUAUUUUUUCCAAAACCUCGAAAGAAAACAUUUCUAGAAAAGACAUUAAAAAUGUGACAGAAGACAUCACAGAACAACAAGAGGUAGAAAUCGUUACCAGGAAACCUAUAAACGAAACUGUUGAUGAUAGUCCUAAAAAGAGAGGACCUGGCAUUACUGAAUUCCCAUCCCAAAAGAAGCCACAGAAACAUACGCCUACGAAUUUAAUUCCGUCUAAAACAGUUGAUACAACAGAAGAAGACAAUGAAGUUGUUACUGAAGAAACAACUAUCUAUGAUGACAAUAAACCAUCCAGUAAAGGUCCAUAUACGAAAGAAAGACCAAAGACCACAACUGAUAGACACAAAACUAGCACAACAGAAUUCAUAAUGCAGGAAAAAUUAAGCACAGACAUAAACUCGAGUACUGAAGUUUUAAUCGAUGAAUCAGAACGACCAGUACCUACCAAAAAGACACCAAAAGUCAAAGAGACCCGCCCUCAAAGUACACCAUCGGGAAAACCAAUUACAUCAACCACAUAUACUGAAAAUGUACUUAAUGUGGAAGAAAUUGUUGAUACUAAUACGUUAGAACGCAAACCAUCAAAGCCUACAACUACAGACGACAAGCCAACAAAGAAAGAACUUACUGAAUAUCCAGCACAAUCCAAAUUGAAACCCAAAGACACUACUACAAAGAUUACAACUACUGAAAUCAUCAAUAAGGAAACAACAAAACCUGGUGAAAAGAAAGAACCAACAAAAAAGACACCAAUAACCGAGUUUCCAUCUCAAAUUCGCAAAGAACCAAAAACCACUACUAAAACUAGCACUUCAAUAACUGAAGAUAUCUCCGUAGAAGAAAUAACAAGGAAAUUCACGAAGCCUUCUCCUGGAAACAAAAAACCAACCAAACAGGGUCCAGAUACACAGGAAAAACCUUUAAAACCAAAUAAGGAAACAGUAAAGACAACAGAGAAAGAAAAAAUUAUCAAAACUAGCAAAGACAAGGUUACUGACGAAGAAGAAACCAUCAUUGAUGAAUUAAUAGUAGUGGAUGAUUCUGAUGUUCCAAAAGUUACCAUCGGUAAACCGAUUCCUAAGGACGAAAAACCUAAAAAAUUACCUAAACAACAUGCUGUUGAUAAAACAACAGAAUAUUCAGAUGACGAUGUUGAUUUUACCCAAGAAGUUAUAGUUACAGAUGAAUUUGAAAUUGUAAAUAUUCCAAAACAGAAACCCAAGCAGGAAAUCCCUCAGUAUACUUCACAAACUAGAAAACCCAUCACUAAAAACAUCUCUAAAGAAAAUAUUACCCCUACAAAGGAAAAAUCAUCAAAAGUUAAAAAACCUACCAACAAAGAACCUACUGCUACAGAAAAAUUCUUUGAACCUAUCGAUUAUGCGAAUAUGGUACCUGUUGAGGAACCAUUGAUGAUCAAAAAAGAUAUAGACACAAGUUGUCCUCAUGAUAUUAGGUACGCAUCGAAAACCACUAAAAACUUUAUCGAAAAAGAACAAAAAGAAAUCAAUGAAAAUGUAAAUUUACAGAGAAGACCUGUUAAACCAGAAAAGGAAACUCCUUUGCAUAAAACGCAAAUUAGUACCACAGCUAAGAAACCUCAAAAACAACCUGAGAGGAAAUUAGAUAAACCCAGUACAAGAAAACCGGUCAAUGGUAUAACUGAAUAUCAAGAUCAAUACUCUCCUAAUCUUAAACCAAAAUCAACUCCUACUAAAUCGAAGACCAUAGAACCAACAACAGUAUUUAAACCGUCAAAUAAAAUAAAUUCUAUACCUACUAAACCUACUACAAAGGUUCAAGUUAAUGGGUUCCAUAAGCCAGAAAAACCCAAAACACCUCAGGACACAAUAAAAUCUUCCACUGUUGUCGUAAAUACAGUGAGGGUACCAAAACAGUCUGUUGUAGAAACAAUAACAACAAAGAAGACUACAAAAACCAUUAACCUAAAAGAAAAUGAACCAUCCGAGCCAACAAAGUUAAGAAAACCAUUACCAAGCAAAGGUCCUGUAAAGCCUUCUGCUAAACCAUCGCAUCCCGAUCAUUCAACCAAAAAGCAUCUAGUUACGACUACAAUAACACUAAAGACCAAUACUCAACCAGUAACUACGAAACCAAAAGUAUCAAAAACAACAACUACAACGGUUACAAAGUCACAAAAGAACAGGGUUGUUGAUUUGAAACAAAAACGUGUGAAUGAGUAUGUUUCAACUGAUACUGACGAAGAAGAAACAAUAGAAACUGUCGAUGUAACGAAAAGAAAUGGUACCAAAAGACAACCAGAAAAAUGUAUAACAACGAAAACCGUUAUCAUAAACAACAAUACACAACCGAGGCAAAUAGUGGUAGAUCUACAACGUUCAAAGUCUUCGAGAGAACCAACACCAGAUAAAAUAUGUCCAGUGCCUACAGAGUACGGAGGCUAUGGAUCACCAAGAUAUCCUGACGAAAUUGAAGAACCCGAUGAUGUUAACGUAAGGAAACCACCGAAGAGACUUUCGGACAUACCUUUAUUGGAAUCAGAAGAUGUUACCAACUUUAGCAGAAUAACAGAAAUCUCAGACACUAAAGUAGUUACUGAUAUCGAUAAAGUAGAAACAACAGACGAGAGUCUCUUGAGCGUUAAUAGAAAGAUCAAUUUGUUCCUAGACACUGCUGAUAAACUCACCAAAACUGGUAAAGGCCCAUCUGGUCCAGCUCCUAAAGUAGAACGACCCAAAUUGGAAGUUACACAAGAUCUGGAAUCAGAUGAGUGUCUUUUGAGCGUGUCAGAAAAGGUUAACAAGUUCAUAAACACUGCUGAUCAAUUUAUGAAUGUUCGGGAUUUGCCAGAGAGACCAAAAAGUCCUAGGUGUAAGUUUAAUAACGAUAAAAUUUCUUCUAAUAACUUUAUUACCACCGAACAAAAGACAAUUCAGAAAGAAAACCUAACUAAUGAGACUCGAAAAGUAUCUUUAGAAAAUUUAAACACUGUCGAUACCUAUAGAAAAUCUGCGCCCACUGAUAUUAAAAAAGAACCGAAAUCUGUGACUAGAGCUGAAAAACCAGGCGACAAUAAACCUGUGGACAAGAAACCUAGCAAAUCUCCAGUUAGAGAGAGCCAGAAAACACAACCAGAGCUUGUUGAUCAAAAGUAUCCUAAUUAUAGUACUAUAACUAAACGAGUAUCUUUAGAAAAUCUUGAAAUUCAAACCAGUGUUAAAAAUACAGAAGAUAUUCGCAGAAAAUCCCCUGAAAGAGUAUCACCAACACAUACCAAACGUCCUUCAGAUAGAAACGUAUCUCCUGAAGAUACAAGAAACAAACCAAGUGAAAGAUCGUCUCCAGAUCGAUUAUCGCCCACAAGAAUUACUCCCAGUCAUCCUGGAACACCAAAUAGGCGUCCACCGAAUGAAUACACGUCAAUUAAAUCCAUAAAAACCCAAGACGUAAAAUCUACGACCAAAGAGGUCAGUACUACUCCAAAGAGUAGCAAAAGUAAACCAGCGGAGGACAAGAAAAAUAUUCUAAGUACUACCGGUCGUCUUAGGAGUACAGAAAGUAUUAAGAAGGCUAGAGCUCUCUUUGAAAACAUCAACAAGGAAGCAGAAAAAGCAAAUAACAAAUCUCCUAUUUGUACUAAGAAAGAAACUGUCGUUAGGAAACUUAGUUAUUCGAGUGAGGAUGACUUAAAACAGACUAGAACUACAAAAUCUAGAUCUAACUCACCUGACAAACCAAUAGGAGAUGUACCUCAUUAUAUGUUACCUUUAGAUAGACCUUCCAAACCCAAAUCGGAAUCUCCUGAAAGAAGGACUUCAAGACCAAGAUCGCCUGAUGGAAGUGAGUCUGGUGGUAUUCCCCAUUAUAUGUUGCCAUUGGACAGACCCAAGACUCAUACACCUAGAUCUAAAUCUCCUGAUAGAGAUAGCUUAAGAUCCUGUUCUCCGAAUGUCAGACAUGAAACUGGAGAGGUUCCUCAUUAUAUGCUACCUUUAGAUAGAACCCCUGAACCAGACAGAGAAGUUCCAAGGCAUAAACAACAUCUUACACGGACUGAACCAGGUGUUACUCCACACUAUAUGUCACCUUUGCACAAACCUAACACUCAUGUCCCAAGAUCUAAAUCUCCUGAUAGAGAAAGCUUAAGAUCCUGUUCUCCGAAUGUAAGACAUGAAACUGGAGAAGUUCCUCAUUACAUGUUACCUUUAGAUAGAACCCCUGAACCAGACAGAGAAGUUCCAAGGCAUAACCAACAUCUUACAAGAACCGAACCUGGUGUUACUCCUCACUAUAUGUUACCAUUAGAAAAUCCUAAGGCUCAUAUACCCACUGAACCAGACAGAGAAAUUCCAAGGCAUAAACAACAUCUUACUAGGACAGAACCUGGCGUCACUCCUCACUAUAUGUUACCACUAGAGAAUCCUAAGGCUCAUACACCUAGAUCCAAAUCUCCUGACAGAGAAAGCUUAAGGUCCUGUUCUCCGAAUGUGAGACAUGAAACUGGAGAAGUUCCUCAUUACAUGUUACCUUUAGAUAGAACUCCUGAACCAGACAGAGAAGUUCCAAGGCAUAAACAACAUCUUACAAGGACUGAACCUGGUGUUACUCCUCACUAUAUGUUACCAUUAGAAAAUCCCAAUUCUCAUAUACCCACUGAACCAGACAGAGAACUUCCAAGGUAUAGACAACAUCUUACAAGGACAGAACCUGGUGUUACUCCUCACUAUAUGUUUCCAUUAGAGAAUCCUAAGGCUCAUAUACCUAGAUCCAAAUCUCCUGACAGAGAAAGCUUGAGAUCUUCUUCUCCUCAUGUUCGACAUGAAACUGGAGAAGUCCCUCACUAUAUGUUACCUUUAGAUAGAAGCCAGACGCCCAGUGAGCUAGAUAGAGACGUUAAUAUUCCCAGGCAUAAACAAUAUGUCACAAAUAGUACUCCACAUUAUAUGUCACCUUUGCACAGACCUAAAACUCACACACCCAGGUCGAAUUCUCCUGAUAGAGAAAGCCUAAGAUCUUGCUCUCCAAAUAUCAGACAUGAAACUGGAGAAGUACCCCAUUACAUGUUACCGUUAGAUAAAAGGCAUAUGCAUAGUACACCUAGACCUAAAUCACCAGACCGUGAUACUCCUAGACACAAGUCACCUGAAUCUGGUGAUACUCCUCACUAUAUGUUACCUCUAGAUAGAGACGCUAGACCUAGCAGACCGAGAUCUAAAUCACCUGGAGGGGAUAGUCCAAGGCAUACUUCACCUGACGUUCGUUCUGAAGCCAGUGAUGUUCCUCAUUACAUGCUCCCAUUAGACAGAAACGUCCACUACAAAGACAAACCUAUCACAACCUCAAAACCUGAGAGUCCCAAUAAUAAAUUUGGUGUUACACUGAAGAAAGUGCAUCCUGACAAGCCCGUUACAAAAACUACUAAUACUAAAGUGACUACAGAAAGAAAAACCAGUAAUGUCGAAAAUAUAACUGAAGAAGAAAUCGAAGAUAUUUUUGAAAUAGAAGUCUUGGAGGAACUGCUCCAAAGAGUAACCAGUUACGAAAUACGCAGAGUAAUAAGAACCCAAAUUAAAUUGGUAAAGAAACUAAUAACAGAAAAUAGGCUAACGAUUUAUAUACAAGAAAGAAAACAAUCAAAGAUUAGGAAAGACCGUUCAGAAACAAUUACCCAAAAUGUUGAGUAUCAUUCAAGUUAUAAACAAACACGUAAAUCCUCCACAGAUCGGACUGUAGAGACUAGAACUCGCAGUCCUCAAAGGACACCAAGUCCAACUAGGCAACCAAAGAAUCAAUUUUACAGACCAAAUGAAAAGAGACAAAGUCCUCAACGAACAUCCAGUCCAACAAAACCAUCGAACGAAAAUAAUCUUAUAAAAACUACAACAACAACUAAUACAACAAUCCGAACAUCAACUCCAAGGGAAAUAGUCAGAAAACCUGGAGAAAGAUCUAGUCCAGAAAGACAGUCUCCUCAAAGGCAAGCUAGUCCAACUCGUACUCAAACUACUGUUCAAAGCAGCUACAGGCUUACAAGUAGCAGUGAUGUACCCACAACUAAACAAAUUACUAGAAAAACAGAGGAGCUACGAAGAUUUAGUCCAGAAAGAGUUUCCUUAGUUGAAACUACCUCGAGAACUGAACAAGUACGAAAAACAUCAACGGAAAAAAGUACUCUACAUACCAAAACUACAAGCCCAGAAAGAAAUGUACCUCAAAAGAAGGAACCAAGGCAUUCUAGUCCAGAUAAGAAGGGUCCUAAAAGUGGACACUCCAUUCUGAAGAAAACAGAAGUGCAGCAAAAAAAAGUGGAGGAAAAGAAGCCUGAGUGGGUCACCAACAGGAAUCUGAAGAAAGUUACGGGUUCAAACGAACAAGUACGAACUACGAGUAGUAGUAAAAAGACUGUUAAAGAAGAAAAGAUUGUCCAAAAGAAGUCCAGUGAGUAUGAACCUACUGAUUUGAUUACGUCUAGUUACGGUGUUGGACCUACUGAUGAAAAUGGUACUCCCUUAUUUGGACUGAAGGCAUUGAGACAAACCAACAACGGCACAACUAAAGUUCAAGGCACCUUUAUCACAAGUGAAUACUACUCAGAAAACGGCCAGGAACCCGUGGGACAAAUAAGCGUAACGAAUUAUUCGACCGACCCGAGAGAUUUGAGUACCGAGGAACAAAUUCAAAAUAACAAGCUAGUAACAAGCGUAACAACUACUCAGAAAUUCGGAUACGAAGAUUCACCUUCGUUAGAGACCCUAACAAAAAAUAAACGUCCGACCAAACAAAUAGAAGAUUCUGUAGCAGAAGGCAACAGAACGUCAAAUUUCAAACGACAGAACUCAGUGAAGGCUAUUUCUCAGAAAUUCAUUGAUUCGGCAGUGGAAUCUUUAAAAAAUGAACGGCAAACGUCCUACCCAAAGGCAGGUCUGAUUUUGCGCACUUCCAGUUUCAAGGAUUCUAAAAACGACUCUAAUGAAGAAGAUAUCACGUCAGGUAUCGUUACUACUACUAAAACAUCUAAACAAACCACUACGAAAAAAUCUACGAGUGAAGGAGGUGGUACCUUUCUUAGUAACAAAUCUACCAUUUCCGGUGUGACUGAUGUUAUCAGCAGAAUGAAGACUGAAGAAUAUGAAGAAGGUGACAGUUCUGAAGACAUAGAAGCAAGAAGUUUGCUGAACAAGUUUAUAGGAUCUCAAGUGAUACUUUCAGGAAUGGAAAAUAGAGGGACAGCGAUAACAACAACAAAAUCCAAAAUUUCAACAUCAGAAUUGGUACCAAGGACGACGAGUAAAAAAACGAUCAAACUGACGACAACUGUAACGGAGGGUGGAAAAACUAAAACCAAAACCUUAGUCUUUCAAAGUCCCAUCACAGAAGAGGAAUUAGAAAACAUCUGGGACGAAAAAAUUCUUCGAUUAUUGCUUGAACAAAGCACAGAAUACGAAGAAAGGCGAAUCAUCAGGAAUAGGUUACGCAGCGUAAUGGCAGAACAAGAAGCUUGUGCAGAUCUGGUACAGAAGGCAAGCCAGGAACAAGCCAGCGGAAAAAUAGAGGAAAGCGUGACUGUUGAAAAAUCGUCGAGUGAGACACCGACAACUACUACUACAACCAAAGUUACGAAAAUUAGUACCCAACAACAGGUAACCAAAAAGCCUCUAUCGCCAUUCGCUAAAUUUCAACAAUUGGACAAACAAAACAGUACCACUACUCCACCAGGAACGUUCAACUAGACAACUUCUCCACCAGCUGGGCGGACGGACUUGCAUUUUGUGCCCUCAUCCACCAUUUCCUGCCAGACGCCUUCGACUAUCAUGCGUUAACGCCAAAAGAACGAAGACACAAUUUCGAACUUGCCUUCAAAGUUGCCAGUGACAAGGCGGACAUUUUUCCUCUCCUUGACGUUGACGAUAUGAUGGCCACCAGAAGGCCUGAUUGGAAAUGCGUCUUCACAUAUGUCCAGUCCAUUUACCGACGCUUCAAAGAUGAAGAAAUCUAAAAAUAUUUACAAUAUUAUGUGUUUUGUGUUUGUUUUUGUACAAA